Molecule: long non-coding RNA, 276 nt
Organism: Helianthus annuus (common sunflower)
Lineage: Eukaryota; Viridiplantae; Streptophyta; Magnoliopsida; Asterales; Asteraceae
Exons: 2
Source: RefSeq, a predicted model, not a curated record
AGUUCAUCUGUCAGAAUUAGAAAAAUAGCUGGAACCAAAAAACAAACUGGAAUCCUUUCAAGGAUGAGAAUGUGAAAUUUAUUGACGAAAUUCAACCUAAAACUCCACAAAUAACUAAUAAGAGAACUGCACUGAACAGUGUUUCCACUACGACUGCAACGAGCCAAAUUUCAUUGGAAAACAGCAACAAGAAACUGGUCCAGCGAUGACAGUUAAUCAAGAGGGAGUAUUGGCUACUGCCUACCGGAGGUGAGAGUUUUUUUUUUUUUUUUUUUU